This 253-nucleotide ribosomal RNA is filed under the name uncultured bacterium. Its description in RNAcentral is "partial 16S ribosomal RNA". It matches the Rfam family "Bacterial small subunit ribosomal RNA", at positions 524 to 776 of the family's 1533-position model. The record is from RNAcentral.
UACGUAGGCAGCAAACGUUGUUCGGAAUUACUGGGCGUAAAGAGUGUGUAGGCGGCUUUGCUAGUCUGGCGUGAAAUCUCCCGGCUUAACUGGGAGGGUGCACUAGAAACUGCAAGGCUAGAGUAUCGGAGAGGAAAGCGGAAUUCCUGGUGUAGCGGUGAAAUGCGUAGAUAUCAGGAGGAACACCGGUGGUGUAGACGGCUUUCUGGACGAUCACUGACGCUGAGACACGAAAGCGUGGGGAGCAAACAGG